RNAcentral lists this non-coding RNA (213 nucleotides) under Dokdonella koreensis. RNAcentral also lists the same sequence under 1 other name. Lineage: Bacteria; Pseudomonadati; Pseudomonadota; Gammaproteobacteria; Lysobacterales; Rhodanobacteraceae. The record is from RNAcentral.
CAAUAGCUUGUGUUCGUCGGUGCCCGCCGGACCUAACGGUCCAGCCGGCUUAAUAGGGAAUCCGGUGCGAGACCGGAGCUGCCCCGCAGCGGUAAGUGGAAACGAAAUCCGCGUUCAGCACUGGUCCGUCGGGACUGGGAAGCGGCGGAAACUAGGCGAGCCGGAAGGCCCACGUCCACAAGCCCGAAGACCUGCCGACACGUUGGAUGGCUG